GACAGAGGGGGCAAGCGUUGCUCGGAAUUACUGGGCGUAAAGCGCACGUAGGCGGCUUUCUAAGUCGGGGGCGAAAUCCUGGAGCUCAACUCCAGAACUGCCUUCGAUACUGGAGAGCUCGAGUCCGGGAGAGGUGAGUGGAACUGCGAGUGUAGAGGUGAAAUUCGUAGAUAUUCGCAAGAACACCAGUGGCGAAGGCGGCUCACUGGCCCGGUACUGACGCUGAGGUGCGAAAGCGUGGGGAGCAAACAGG
RNAcentral lists this ribosomal RNA (253 nucleotides) under uncultured bacterium. RNAcentral describes it as "partial 16S ribosomal RNA". It matches the Rfam family "Bacterial small subunit ribosomal RNA", at positions 524 to 776 of the family's 1533-position model. The record is from RNAcentral.